RNAcentral lists this long non-coding RNA (581 nucleotides) under Triticum aestivum (bread wheat). RNAcentral's name for it is "long non-coding RNA (TAES_LNC003109)". The record is from RNAcentral. Lineage: Eukaryota; Viridiplantae; Streptophyta; Magnoliopsida; Poales; Poaceae.
AGAGGAUUUUACCCUUUAAGCGGACCUGUUCUUUUGCUCCCUCUUUGCUUCUUAGGGAUUAUAAGGAGCAUCUGCUUAGCUUCCUUCUGCUCGCCUGGCAGGGUAUCACUGGUGUACUUUCCCGGUCGCUCCUUCUUCUCUAGCACCAGUCACUUCAAUCUACUUCUCAUCAGUGAGCGGCACAUGUGAGAUAAACUCUCACCAAUUUCAGUGAUUGUUCCAACAGAAACCUGCGUGCACAAUUAUACAUAAGAGACAAUGUCGCCACAGUAUUACGUGGCAAAGGGGAUUGAACCUAAUAAUAACUGAUGACCCACCAACUUGCAACCUUCAAAAUUUGGCUUCAGCUGCAGCCUCUGUACACUUUGCCUGAAGUUAUCUUGCAUACUCACUUCCUGAAAGAAGCCUAAAAUGGUCAUCGGAAGAUAAUAAUUGUGAGUAUUUGUAUCUUUUUCUGUCGCAAGCUUACAGUGUUUUUCCUAAGCUUGCUACGUGCCCAAGAACAUAGAACAACACGUACUUUCAGAAUUCAAAUCAAUUUUGUGUAUCCUGAUAGUCUUUUAGAUCUCUGAACAGAGCUA